RNAcentral lists this ribosomal RNA (253 nucleotides) under uncultured bacterium. RNAcentral describes it as "partial 16S ribosomal RNA". It matches the Rfam family "Bacterial small subunit ribosomal RNA", at positions 524 to 776 of the family's 1533-position model. The record is from RNAcentral.
UACGGAGGGUGCAAGCGUUAUCCGGAUUCACUGGGUUUAAAGGGUGCGUAGGCGGAUAGGUAAGUCAGAGGUGAAAUCUUCGAGCUUAACUCGGAAACUGCCUUUGAUACUAUCUAUCUUGAAUAUUGUGGAGGUAAGCGGAAUAUGUCAUGUAGCGGUGAAAUGCUUAGAUAUGACAUAGAACACCUAUUGCGAAGGCAGCUUACUACGCAUAUAUUGACGCUGAGGCACGAAAGCGUGGGGAUCAAACAGG